This is a long non-coding RNA of Macrobrachium nipponense, 1175 nucleotides long. RefSeq lists it as uncharacterized. Lineage: Eukaryota; Metazoa; Arthropoda; Malacostraca; Decapoda; Palaemonidae. The record is from RefSeq and is a predicted model, not a curated record. The transcript is spliced from 5 exons.
AUGUGAGAGGAGGUGGAUGGAAGUGCCAUUAACAGGAAUAGUGUGAGAUUUAUGGUAAAUGAAUGUGGGCCUAUUUGAGGAGCUGUGUCAUUUCCUGCAUACAGUUCAUGGUGAAAAGCAAAGAACAUAGGAUUGGGAUGUGCAGAGAUGCUCCCAGAGAUGUUUGUUACAAUUGUCGACCAUGAAAUCAGAAUGCCUAUGUCUGUCGCAAGGGAACUCAAACUAUAUACAUAAUCAACCACCACGACUGUUGUGAAGGAAAACAAGCAAAUUAAGGAUUUUGAAAUCUUUGACAUUAUUUGAAUCCUGUGAUGAAGAAAUGAGAUGGGCCCAUUGAGGAAAUGAAUGUAGGCUAAUAUGCUCCCUGAGUUAAAUUGUUAUCAUUGGAUCGCCAAGUGUGAAGGCAGAAAUAGUGACAUCUGUUGCAAGGGAACUGAAGCUUUCACUAUCGACGAUCUCAACCAUUGUGAAGGAUAAGAAACAAAAUAAUGAUUGCAAGAUCUCUAGCAUCACUUAAUGCAAGAUCUUUGGCACCACUUAAAUCCAAAUUUAUCAUGAAGAAUUCAAGUGUUGGACAGACAGAGGAAAUGGACCUAGGCUAAUGUAAUGAACUCAAAGAGAACAAGGUAUCAAAACAAAGGAAAAAUUAUGACUUCUCAGAAAAAGAGAGCAGUUACGGUAAAUAGGAAUGAAAACUGGAGAAUGUAAAAGAACAUCAGGAUAUUUACCAUGAGCAGAAUGUAAAUGGAGUUGCAGAGCCUCCAAAGAUGGAAACCCAUCCCUAGAGCAAUAUAAGCAAGCCAGUUUUCCACCAACAAGAGAGAGUAGAGGAUUUGAAAGAGGCCUUGGGGAGGGAAGAGACGAGGGUGGUCGAGGUGAUGGAGUAGAAGCUACUGAUGAUGCUCCUCCAAUAGAUGAUGCCCCUGACCCACCUCCACGAGAAGCAGGUCUUUCUAGGGAGGACGACUGCAGGUCAUCAGCAUGAUAACGAGACACAUGACGCUGAAAAGAAAAAAUUCACGGUCACCUUAAGAGCCAUUGUUAGUGCAAGCUUGAGUGGCGGUUGAGGUUUUGGGGGCAAGCAAGAGGAUAGCCAUUAUUCACAUUUCAUCACUAUCACUUGAGGUGCUGUGAAGAGAAGAUGUCUUGCAGUGCUUGUCUUCCCUGUUGCUGAA